UGGGGAAUAUUGCACAAUGGGCGCAAGCCUGAUGCAGCCAUGCCGCGUGUAUGAAGAAGGCCUUCGGGUUGUAAAGUACUUUCAGCGGGGAGGAAGGGAGUAAAGUUAAUACCUUUGCUCAUUGACGUUACCCGCAGAAGAAGCACCGGCUAACUCCGUGCCAGCAGCCGCGGUAAUACGGAGGGUGCAAGCGUUAAUCGGAAUUACUGGGCGUAAAGCGCACGCAGGCGAUUUGUUAAGUCAGAUGUGAAAUCCCCGGGCUCAACCUGGGAACUGCAUCUGAUACUGGCAAGCUUGAGUCUCGUAGAGGGGGGUAGAAUUCCAGGUGUAGCGGUGAAAUGCGUAGAGAUCUGGAGGAAUACCGGUGGCGAAGGCGGCCCCCUGGACGAAGACUGACGCUCAGGUGCGAAAGCGUGGGGAGCAAACAGG
Molecule: ribosomal RNA, 429 nt
Filed under: Chloroflexota bacterium
Lineage: Bacteria; Bacillati; Chloroflexota
Description: Chloroflexi bacterium partial 16S ribosomal RNA
Rfam family: Bacterial small subunit ribosomal RNA
Source: RNAcentral